This 466-nucleotide ribosomal RNA is filed under the name uncultured bacterium. Its description in RNAcentral is "bacterial SSU rRNA". It matches the Rfam family "Bacterial small subunit ribosomal RNA", at positions 23 to 507 of the family's 1533-position model. The record is from RNAcentral.
CUCAGAACGAACGCUGGCGGCAUGCCUUACACAUGCAAGUCGAACGGCAGCACGGGAGCAAUCCUGGUGGCGAGUGGCGAACGGGUGAGUAAUAUAUCGGAACGUGCCCAGUCGUGGGGGAUAACGUAGCGAAAGCUACGCUAAUACCGCAUACGAUCUAUGGAUGAAAGCGGGGGAUCGCAAGACCUCGCGCGAUUGGAGCGGCCGAUAUCAGAUUAGGUAGUUGGUGAGGUAAAGGGCUCACCAAGCCGACGAUCUGUAGCUGGUCUGAGAGGACGACCAGCCACACUGGGACUGAGACACGGCCCAGACUCCUACGGGAGGCAGCAGUGGGGGAAUUUUGGACAAUGGGCGCAAGCCUGAUCCAGCAAUGCCGCGUGAGUGAUGAAGGCCUUCGGGUUGUAAAGCUCUUUUACUCGGGACGAUAAUGACGGUACCGAGAGAAUAAGCCCCGGCUAACUCCGUG